Molecule: ribosomal RNA, 47 nt
Filed under: Escherichia coli 201600.1
Lineage: Bacteria; Pseudomonadati; Pseudomonadota; Gammaproteobacteria; Enterobacterales; Enterobacteriaceae
Description: partial 23S ribosomal RNA
Source: RNAcentral
GUUUUAAUGUCAUUAGCGGAUUUUUACUGGUUGCUAAACCUUCAAUG